Molecule: long non-coding RNA, 2710 nt
Filed under: Mus musculus (house mouse)
Lineage: Eukaryota; Metazoa; Chordata; Mammalia; Rodentia; Muridae
Description: long non-coding RNA chr17:11533853-11536563
Source: RNAcentral
AAAAAGGAUGGGUGGGCGAGAGAAGGAUGAAGCCAAGACAAAAGUUUCUGAUCAAAGCUCAAAGUUUAGUUUUCAGCUCUGUAUUUAUAUAGUGAAAGCCCACAGACCCAUCCUUUGUUUCAGCUGGAUUGAGAUGCAAAGCAAGCUCAGCAGGCAGUCAACUUCUCAAAGCACAGUAGGGAAUUGCAAAUGCAGCAAGGCCAGGUUGUAAAAACCAUGAGGGGUGGGGUUGUUUAGCCUACUCAAGGCUGGGGGAAGGGCACACAUAAAUGUAAUUUUACUUAAUAAAUAUUAUUUAUCCUUGUCUCAACUACCUUAAGCUUUAAUUAUCUGUCUACCAGUAACUCUAGAGCAGGUGUCUUUAGAGUUAAAUUUUCUCAUGUAUUAAAGUCAUCUUCUGUGACAAAGAUGAGUCAUUGUCUCUUGCAGAGGAGGAGGUAACACCAGAGUGCCUUUCUCUGCAGGCUCCAGUGAUUGGGUUUUGCCAGGAGACUGAUUUGUCCCACCUUAUCCAUGGUCUCCUGUGGAAGGGCAGGUAUCAGUGUGUUUCAAGAAGCUUAUAUGUUUCUGUCUUAAAGUCUGAUCCUUCGCCAGUUUCCAGGACUGCCCAUGUUUACGGAUGACUUACUAAGCUCUUGGUCAUUUAAAGAGAACAGGUGAUAUUUUACCUCCUGAAAGACAACAAGGGUUCCUUUGUGCUCCCUUUUACUUGACACAUAGGGUAUGUAUGACCUUGAGAAAGGAGAUCUUUGCUCACUCACCCAUGAUCCUGUAUUCACUUAGAAAUCACAUCUGCUCUUAUAAAUUCUGGCUUCCUUCUCCACCACUGGGCCUUACGUUCAGAAAAACUGAUGCUUUCAGGAUGGCUUGUUUUUUGUUUUGGUUUUGUUUUGUUUUGUGUGGGUUUUUUUUUUUUUUUUUUGUCUUAUCCUAAAACUAUAUUUGAGAUCUCACAAAGGGCUCUGAAAAAUCCCGAAACUCCUAGAAUUGUGCAUUACUCAGACAAGCAGACAGCGGACUUGGAGAGGACUUGGAGAGGGGCACACAGGGCAGCCUCCAGAGAGGUCACAGGGAACGCUAAAACACCAUAUGCAGCCUUUCAUCUUUGCAAAGAGUUCUAGAUAUAAAGAAUAAAUGCAUGCAAAGCUAGCAGAUUCUCCAACCUCCUGGAGGAUAACUGGGAGGAAAAGAUGACCUCUAUCCCAUAACCAUAUCAGAAUGAUGAAAUGAAACAGUGAGACCAGAUACAAAGGGACAAACACCCACCCCAUGGUCCAGAAGGCCCUGGCUGUGUGUUUUAGGUAUGCAAGUGCAUGAUUUCCAAUGCAUGCCUGAUGGACUUCAGCAUGUAUCCCAUACUGCUUCGCUGCCACCACCAGCUGGGAAGAGCCUGGCCACUGUGGUCCGCUACACUUUCCUUGACUUGGAGGAAGAUUCUCCCUAACUUUGCCAUAGCACAGUUAAUUUUAAGAGGUCCCUAAAGCAGAAUGCCCACCAUUUCCUGGCUGCAUGAGUUACCAAUAACCAUCAGACUUCUCCCAGCCUAAUUUUAAAUAUGAAAUAAUAACACCAGAUCUCAAAGGAGUGGCCUAAGAAGGAAAUGAUAGUCAUAAAACACCCAGCAGUUUCUGCUACAUGAUAAAUAUAAACUGAAAAGCUGUGUCCCUGUACCCAUUACUACUCUGUUGUUGUGAUAAAACACCAUCACCAGAGACAACUUAUGGAAGAAAGGGUUUAUUUUAGCUUAGGGUUCUGAGGUGAGAGGACGUAGACAUGGCAGCAGGAAGCUGAGAGCUCACAUUCUCAACCAGGUACAGAAAGCAGCAAGGACGAGCUGGAAGCGGGGCAAUCCACAGUCUGUCAAGGACCAUUCCAACAGCGACUCAGUCUGCCCGCAAGGCUGCACCUCCUAAAUGCUUCAUGACAAUCCAAACCCAUCACCAGCCAGGAGCCGAGUCUCCAAGUGUGUGAGCCUGUGUAAUGCAUUUCCCAUCCAAACCACAACAGCUCCAUAUAAACUACACUGGGAUGAAGCAGGGCACAGCUUUGUACCUUUACUGCAUGGAAAUUAACUCAGGUGCACGUUCAGUUAUAAACUGGGAAGAAUGUUUAUUUUAAUUGCUCACUUAAAACUUUGAUGUGUUUCCCCAUGGCUUCCUGACGUUAGACCUCUGCAUUUACCCAGUAGAUUCCAGGGCUGUCUGCAAGCUACCCUUCACUGCUGAAGGUGGGGAACUGGUUGUUCAGAGGAAUUAAUUCCUUCCUUUUUAGCAGCGUGAGAAUCAGAAUGCUUGCAGUUUCCAUGCUGCAUGGAAACACCUAUCCCUGGGCAUCUGGUGUUUCCUAGUUCAUAAUGAGUGAAGGGCAUGUUCUGCAAUUAGCCUAUAAGGACUUCCACUGAAACUCUGUCACCCACCUGGUUGGGAGAGAUUAUUUUAAUUGUUAGACCCUAAAAUUCAUGUUAAUGUCUGAAUUCUUGAGAUUCAUUCAUAGGUUCAGAAAGCAGUUCUUAAAACCCUAUCACAUGUCAGAUACUUUGCUAAGUCCUACAUCUACAGAAGGCAAGAAGCCAGGCUUGGCCACUGAUGCAAAGAAUUACACACAAACAUGGCGAAGCAGACAGAAUGCUUUGUACAGCCAGUGACAGGUGGUCAGAACAAGUAUGGGAUGGCUAGACAUGGGUGGGGCCAGGUGUUCAUAUUCAAAGAUC